AGUUUCCACUCCCUGUUGUACAGACUCUGGAGACUGUGACACUUGUUAAUGGCCGUUUCUCACUCGCCUGUCGCUGCAUGUUAUUAAUCUCAGUCAUGAAAUCGCCAGAAACCCAUUUAACCUUAAUCAAAAGUUAGCAUAAUAUCACUCUCCUUCUUUGUUGCACAUUUUAUUUAUUUUCUAAUAGAAAACCUAGGCUUUUGGCUUUUGAUUAGAUUAUUGCGGUGCUUUUGGUUUGAGUAGAGUUGUUAUUAAGCAUGAGAUGGGAAAGAGUGGGUGUACAUGGAGGUGGUGGGCCUGGGAAAAGGUGGGGCCACACCUGUAACUCUGUCUUCGGAGGUAAGCUUCUCUACGUCUUCGGUGGCUAUGGCAAAGACAACAGACAUUCCAAUAAAGUUCACGUCUUUGACACUGUUAAUCGAAUGUGGAGUGAGCCAGUGAUGAAGGGAGCAUUGCCCACACCUAGGGACAGCCACAGUUGUACAAACAUUGGAGAUAAUCUGUUUGUGUUUGGGGGCACAAAUGGGAGAGAGCCUCUUAACGAUUUGCAUAUUUUGGACACUUCUUCAAAUACAUGGAUAUCACCAAGUCUAAGAGGCGAUUGCCCUAAUCCAAGGGAAGGCCACAGUGCAGCACUUAUUGGAAAACGGCUUUUCAUAUUUGGUGGAUGCGGCAAAUACGAUGACACUGAAAUAUACUAUGAUGAUGUUUACGUAUUAAAUACAGAGACAUUUGUUUGGAAAUGCAUUGUGCCAUCAGGCACUCCGCCAUGUAAGCGUGAGAGCCAUUCCUGUUCGUCUUGGAAUAAUAAGAUCAUUAUCAUAGGUGGUGAAGACACAUCUAGCUUUUAUUUGUCAGAUGUUCAUAUACUUGACACAGAUACUCUGGUUUGGUGCAAGUUGAAUACUACGGGCCAGAAUUUGCCGCCGCGAGCUGGGCAUACAACCAUUGCAUUUGGGAAGAACUUGUUUGUCUUCGGGGGUUUCGCUAAUGACCAGAGCCUAUUUAAUGAUGUUUACGUGCUUGAUGUUGCUUCAGGUACGUGGACUGAGGUCAUGCCCACUGGUGAGGGCCCAUCUGCCAGAUUCUCAGUAGCUGGGGAUUGCUUAGAUCCACACUUGGGAGGUGCUCUUGUGUUCAUAGGUGGUUGUGAUAAUAACCUUCAACCCUUGGAGGACAUGUAUUAUCUAUAUACAGGCCUUGUUAGAGAGGCUGAACGAGACGAAAGAAGGAUAGAGAAGUUGUCUUUGAGGAAGCAGUUGAAGUUAAAAUGCCAGGAGCAACAAGCUUUAGCUUCUCCCUAUGAUAAUGCUCUUGUUGGAUUUGAGAAUAACGCUUAUGUCCAUCACCAACUGCCUUUGAAUUAUACACAGCCAAGUCGACAGAACAUUUAUUUGAACGAAUACCAGACUCCUCUGGGGAAGAAGACUUUUCAAGCCAAGGUCACAAAGAGUUUUCCAGAUGGGUAUACCAUUGAAACUGUUAUAGAUGGAAAACCGCUUCGUGGAGUGCUAUUUUCCAACAAACCGAGACCUGAACAGACUCCCUGCAAUGAUUCUAUCAGAAUUAGGAAUACAGGAAGUGGUGAAACUGGUAAUGAGAAGCCGAACAACGACCAUAAUUCUGAUAGAGAAAUUACAAGACCUACAGAAACUAAUGUAAACAACUUCCAGCAAGCAGAUGUCUCUGGCGGGAAAUCUAUCAGAAAUGAGGCCCCGGUUAGAGAUGUUACAGCUGAGAUGAAGAGUCCAUCCCCCUCUAAUGCUUCACCAGCCCAAGAGAUUCAUGACGCCUCAAAGUCCUCUGUGGUGCCUGAUGUGAAUUUGGAAAGUAGUAGAGCGAGUGAUCCAGUAGAUUGUGGUACUAGGAUCUCUAAGGAGAAUGCUUCUGCAAUAAAUGAGUCGUAAAUCCUUUACUGAAGAAUCAAACAGCUUGGAGAAAGAUUCUCUUGAUCAAAGUCAAUUCAUGGAAAUCAAUAUGAAUACAGAAACCAGAUAUGAUCCUCACAUCUCACUUUAGGGCAUCUCAAUGUAGUCCUCUAGAUAAGAAUCAACGGAAACCUGAUUAGCCUUGCGCAAUUUUGUCAUCAGAUGGUGGUUAUUUCCUUGAAUUCCCGUUUGUCUAUGGCCCCCAGACUCUUUGACAUUCUCCCAAAGAAUUGUCAUCAUUUAACCAUUUCUUUUUAUAACUAUCAAACACUGUUUUUCUCUUUUUCCCCUUGUUGGUGUCUCUUUUCAAGGAGGUGGAAGCGAGAGUUGACAGGAGAGGAACUGGGGUGAAAAUGAUUUAGAUCCAAGGACUGCUUUUUUUGUCAAUAGCUCGAUAGCGACUGUUGUAUAUAUUAGGAUAUCAACUAGAACUUUUUGUCUUCCCAAUAUGACAAUUACUGAUGUUUGAGAAUUGGGAAUCCUCAUAUUUUUAUGCUUCAUAUUCAUCCCUUCUCUCUUUAA
Nicotiana attenuata is the source of this 2450-nucleotide RNA transcript. It is a transcript of the gene named kelch domain-containing protein 2-like, with no coding region annotated. NCBI's taxonomy places the organism in Eukaryota, Viridiplantae, Streptophyta, Magnoliopsida, Solanales, Solanaceae. The transcript is spliced from 12 exons. The record is from RefSeq and is a predicted model, not a curated record.